This 524-nucleotide ribosomal RNA is filed under the name uncultured bacterium. RNAcentral's name for it is "partial 16S ribosomal RNA". It matches the Rfam family "Bacterial small subunit ribosomal RNA", at positions 28 to 523 of the family's 1533-position model. The record is from RNAcentral.
GACGAACGCUGGCGGCGUGCCUAAUACAUGCAAGUCGAACGAAGCUUUUUCAACUGGUGCUUGCACCGACUUAAACAACUGAGUGGCGAACGGGUGAGUAACACGUGGGUAACCUGCCCCAAAGCGGGGGAUAACAUUUGGAAACAGAUGCUAAUACCGCAUAACCACAGAAACCACAUGGUUUCUGUGUCAAAGAUGGUUUCGGCUAUCACUUUGGGAUGGACCCGCGGCGUAUUAGCUAGUUGGUAAGGUAAUGGCUUACCAAGGCAAUGAUACGUAGCCGAACUGAGAGGUUGAUCGGCCACAUUGGGACUGAGACACGGCCCAAACUCUUACGGGAGGCAGCAGUAGGGAAUCUUCCACAAUGGACGAAAGUCUGAUGGAGCAACGCCGCGUGAGUGGAGAAGGUUUUCGGAUCGUAAAACUCUGUUGUCAGAGAAGAACGUGUGCGAGAGUAACUGUUCGUGCAGUGACGGUAUCUGGCCAGAAAGCCACGGCUAACUACGUGCCAGCCGCCGCCGUAA